Regulatory RNA element from Rhizoclosmatium globosum, 99 nucleotides. It matches the Rfam family "TPP riboswitch aptamer (THI element)". From Rfam's summary of the family: Vitamin B(1) in its active form thiamin pyrophosphate (TPP) is an essential coenzyme that is synthesised by coupling of pyrimidine and thiazole moieties in bacteria. NCBI's taxonomy places the organism in Eukaryota, Fungi, Chytridiomycota, Chytridiomycetes, Chytridiales, Chytriomycetaceae. The record is from Rfam.
GGCUAUGCAAACGGGUGCUGAUAUGAACAAUGGCUGAGAUAAAACCGUCAAAUACUCGAUCGCGAUAAUGCGCGCGAGAGGAUUGCAAUAAACUGUUGU